AUGCAGCUGGCGGCAGAGCCCGUCGGCGAUUAUAGCAUUAUCAAUUCGACAGGUGGGUCGUCGGAGACGACGCGGACGCCCACUGCGCAAUCGCGGCGUCGACGGCGACGUACGGCCGGCGGCGGGGUCUUGUCUCUCGCGAGUCUCGACGCCGCGUACACAUGGGUGGGUGAGCUGGGGCCUGGGGCGGAGAGAACAAGGAAUCAGUGCGCUGAACUAGCCCGGAAUAUGGUGAUCAUGUUAGUUUGGAGGAUUUGGCAUGUGCGCACCGACAUGAUUCAUGGUAAGGAAGCUGCGCCGGUUGGAGCAUCCACUGACUUUCUACCAAGCUACUUUGGUUCCAUCUAUGUUUCAAGGAGAUACUCCAUGGAAGAAAUUAUCAAGGAAGCAAAAUGGAGAAGAAAGAGAUCAAAUGUGAGGCACCAGAUGAAAGAGCGCAAGACGGUAUCCCGUACCGCACGCUAUCCACACCGUGGUGUCCAACGCUCCAACUAUUAUAAAGGGGCCGGUACCAGAAUCACAAAAGAGAGCACACCAGAACCUCAUGUCCGCACCAUAAGCCAUUCACAAACCAUGGCUGCCGCCAUUUUCCAUCUCAUCUCCAUAGCUAGCCACCAUCAUCUUCACCAUCGCAGCAAUUCACCUCUUGUAAUCGUGUAUCGCAUCCGGCAACCACUGUAA
RNAcentral lists this ribosomal RNA (681 nucleotides) under Triticum aestivum (bread wheat). RNAcentral describes it as "partial small subunit ribosomal RNA". The record is from RNAcentral. Lineage: Eukaryota; Viridiplantae; Streptophyta; Magnoliopsida; Poales; Poaceae.